GUAGGGAAUAUUGGGCAAUGGUCGGAAGACUGACCCAGCCAUGCCGCGUGCAGGAAGACGGCCCUCUGGGUUGUAAACUGCUUUUAUCUGGGAAGAAAAAGGCCAUGCGUGGCAAAUUGCCGGUACCAGAUGAAUAAGCACCGGCUAACUCCGUGCCAGCAGCCGCGGUAAUACGGAGGGUGCGAGCGUUGUCCGGAUUUAUUGGGUUGAAAGGGUGCGUAGGCGGCUGAUUAAGUCAGCGGUGAAAGACUUCGGCUUAACCGGAGCAGUGCCGUUGAUACUGGUUGGCUUGAGUGUCGGAGGGGUACAUGGAAUUGAUGGUGUAGCGGUGAAAUGCAUAGAUACCAUCAGGAACACCGAUAGCGAAGGCAUUGUACUGGCCGACAACUGACGCUGAUGCACGAAAGUGUGGGGAUCGAACAGGAUUAGAAACCCUAGUAGUCC
RNAcentral lists this ribosomal RNA (444 nucleotides) under uncultured bacterium. Its description in RNAcentral is "bacterial SSU rRNA". It matches the Rfam family "Bacterial small subunit ribosomal RNA", at positions 354 to 796 of the family's 1533-position model. The record is from RNAcentral.